This 26-nucleotide small RNA is filed under the name Bombyx mori (domestic silkworm). RNAcentral describes it as "ovarian small RNA-30312". The record is from RNAcentral. Lineage: Eukaryota; Metazoa; Arthropoda; Insecta; Lepidoptera; Bombycidae.
UGAAAACCAUUCCAGUGCUGUAGGAG